This 397-nucleotide ribosomal RNA is filed under the name uncultured bacterium. RNAcentral's name for it is "bacterial SSU rRNA". It matches the Rfam family "Bacterial small subunit ribosomal RNA", at positions 28 to 430 of the family's 1533-position model. The record is from RNAcentral.
GACGAACGCUGGCGGCGUGCUUAACACAUGCAAGUCGAACGGUAAGGCCCUUCGGGUACACGAGUGGCGAACGGGUGGAGUAACACGUGGGUGAUCUGCCCUGCACUUCGGGAUAAGCCUGGGAAACUGGGUCUAAUACCGGAUAGGACUCCUGGCUUCAUGGUUGGGGGUGUAAAGCUUUUGCGGUGUGGGAUGGGCCCGCGGCCUAUCAGCUUGUUGGUGGGGUAAUGGCCUACCAAGGCGACGACGGGUAGCCGGCCUGAGAGGGUGACCGGCCACACUGGGACUGAGAUACGGCCCAGACUCCUACGGGAGGCAGCAGUGGGGAAUAUUGCACAAUGGGCGCAAGCCUGAUGCAGCGACGCCGCGUGAGGGAUGACGGCCUCGGGUUGUAACC